Melitaea cinxia (Glanville fritillary) is the source of this 776-nucleotide long non-coding RNA. RefSeq lists it as uncharacterized. NCBI's taxonomy places the organism in Eukaryota, Metazoa, Arthropoda, Insecta, Lepidoptera, Nymphalidae. The record is from RefSeq and is a predicted model, not a curated record. The transcript is spliced from 2 exons.
UGUAAAGUGCUGGAAAAAGAGAAAAAACAUUAGUCGAAUCUUUAUUAAGGUUUUUAAACUUAUUGAAUUGACGCUAUUGGUAAUAUAUUCUUACCUGGAUUACAUUCCCUGUAAGAGGCAACACCAUAUGCAUCGAUAAGGUUCUGGAAACCACGAGUAAAACGGUUGGUGCGAUUGAAUGUUGGUGGCUCUUCGUCGGCUUCAAUGCAGUUCAGGAAAGAUGGGAUAGAACUGCCGCAUGCAUUCUAUCCAUCAGCUAAAGCCUUUUGCACGUUGGGUAGAUCAGCAGUUGGUACCCAACAUUCUCCAAUGAGACACUUCUUCGUGACGUCCAUAUUGAACAGGUUCAGAGUAUGGUAAAUUGCCUUCAUCUUGCGAACCAUGAUUGACCAGCUACCGAGUUCCUUGGCCACACUAACGAGUACGCGUUGUCUGUGAUCACGUGUUUGGUUCAGCACCUAAUUUUUAAAAAAGAAAACGUUUAAAGGAAUACCAAAAAUGGUUUUUAAAGAGAUAACAUAGUCUUAAAGUUAAAAAAAGAGUAUUACUCACCAUAUUUAGAUCCUCAAGACGAGUUCUGACUCCUUUCACCAUAUCCAAUCGCUCCGAAUUGGAUGGUGGACAAGGAUACAAUGAUGCGUGGAAACCAGAGCAUACUUUCUUGAUGCGAGACUUAAGCUGUUCUCCUUGGAAGAAAGCAACGAAUACUGUUUUGUAGAUCUCGUUGCCCUAGAAAUAAAUAUGAAGAGGUUCUAAUUAAACAUUCAUUAUUUAAC